UACUAGAGUAGCACUCGCAUAUCAAUAAGCGGAGGAAAAGAAACUAACAAGGAUUCCCCUAGUAACGGCGAGUGAAGCGGGAAGAGCUCAAAUUUGAAAUCUUAAAGGGUUUCCCUUUACGAAUUGUAGUUUAAAGAAGUGUUUUCUGUUGAGGUUUUGGUAAAAGUUCUUUGGAAUAGGACAUCAUAGAGGGUGAGAAUCCCGUAUUUGACCUUUACUUUCAACUUUGUGAUACACUUUCAAAGAGUCGGAUUGUUUGGGAAUGCAGUCCAAAAUGGGUGGUAAAUUUCAUCUAAAGCUAAAUAUUGGCGAGAGACCGAUAGCGAACAAGUACCGUGAGGGAAAGAUGAAAAGAACUUUGAAAAGAGAGUUAAACAGUACGUGAAAUUGUCAAAAGGGAAGCGUUUGACACCAGUGUUGUUUUUCUGAAAAUCAAUUAAAGAACUGUUUAUGCUAAGCUUGUUUAGACUUUAUCAGCUAUCUGUUUAGUUUUAGAGCUUUUCUUUAAUGCACUUUUCAGUUAACAAGUCAACAUCAAUUUCUUUUGCUGUAAAAAAGCUUGAGGAAGGUGGCUUGAGAUUCGUCUUAAGUGUUUAUAGCCUCUUGCCUAUGCAGUCGGAGAGAUUGAGGUCUGCAGCGUAGAUCCUUCGGGGCUAAAUGCAUUUGUGCUAAGUUAUAGCAUUUUAUAGACAACUUGUUGACUAUGAUUUGUCUUGUAGCUUACUCGCUUAUGUUAUUUUACCUACGCUUAGGAUGUUGAGCGCAUGUCUCUCUCU
RNAcentral lists this ribosomal RNA (776 nucleotides) under uncultured Neocallimastigales. RNAcentral's name for it is "partial large subunit ribosomal RNA". It matches the Rfam family "Eukaryotic large subunit ribosomal RNA", at positions 20 to 616 of the family's 3401-position model. The record is from RNAcentral. Lineage: Eukaryota; Fungi; Neocallimastigomycota; Neocallimastigomycetes; Neocallimastigales.